Molecule: unclassified non-coding RNA, 339 nt
Filed under: uncultured fungus
Lineage: Eukaryota; Fungi
Description: sequence contains 5.8S rRNA gene
Rfam family: 5.8S ribosomal RNA (bases 1-53)
Source: RNAcentral
GAACGCAUAUUGCGCUCUUUGGUAUUCCGAAGAGCAUGCUUGUUUGAGUAUCAGUAAACACCUCAAAGACUUCAAUUUGUUUUGAAUGGCUUUGGACUUGAGCAAUCCCAACACCAGUCUUUACGAUCGGUGGAGGGUUGCUUGAAAUGCAGGUGCAGCUGGACAUUCUCCUGAGCUAAAAGCAUAUUUAUUUAGUCCUCGUCAAACAGGAUUAUUACUUUUGCUGCAGCUAACAUAAAGGAUAAUUGUCCUCUUUGCUGACUGAUGCAGGAUUUUACGACACUUUAUGUGUUGUUCAACUCGAUCUCAAAUCAAGUAAGACUACCCGCUGAACUUAAG